GACGAACGCUGGCGGCAUGCCUAACACGAUAUGCAGUUCUCAGCAGGCAUCUAACGAGAACGAAAAUGUGAAGGAGAAGGAUGGGGGAUGCGUCUGAUUAGCUUGUUGGCGGGGUAACGGCCCACCAAGGCGACGAUCAGUAGGGGUUCUGAGAGGAAGGUCCCCCACAUUGGAACUGAGACACGGUCCAAACUCCUACGGGAGGCAGCAGUGAGGAAUAUUGGUCAAUGGGCGAGAGCCUGAACCAGCCAAGUAGCGUGCAGGAAGACGGCCCUAUGGGUUGUAAACUGCUUUAUAAGGGAAUAAAGUGGGUCACGUGUGACUUUUGCAUGUACCUUAUGAAUAAGGACCGGCUAAUUCCGUG
This 364-nucleotide ribosomal RNA is filed under the name uncultured bacterium. RNAcentral's name for it is "bacterial SSU rRNA". It matches the Rfam family "Bacterial small subunit ribosomal RNA", at positions 28 to 507 of the family's 1533-position model. The record is from RNAcentral.